Molecule: non-coding RNA, 84 nt
Organism: Bombyx mori (domestic silkworm)
Lineage: Eukaryota; Metazoa; Arthropoda; Insecta; Lepidoptera; Bombycidae
Source: Rfam
UUAACUCAAAUUUGUAUGCAGUAGGAACGUUUGCCUACGUUUGCCGCUAGGGACGCUGUUCCAAUUGAACACAAAUUUCAGUUA